RNAcentral lists this ribosomal RNA (433 nucleotides) under uncultured bacterium. RNAcentral describes it as "partial 16S ribosomal RNA". It matches the Rfam family "Bacterial small subunit ribosomal RNA", at positions 29 to 507 of the family's 1533-position model. The record is from RNAcentral.
AACAAACGCUGGCGGCAUGCCUAGCACAUGCAAGUCGAACGAGACCUUCGGGUCUAGUGGCGCACGGGUGCGUAACGCGUGGGAACCUGCCCUUAGGUUCGGAAUAACUCCCCGAAAGGGGUGCUAAUACCGGAUAAUGUCUUCGGACCAAAGAUUUAUCGCCUUUGGAUGGGCCCGCGUUGGAUUAGCUAGUUGGUAGGGUAAAAGCCUACCAAGGCGACGAUCCAUAGCUGGUCUGAGAGGAUGAUCAGCCACACUGGGACUGAGACACGGCCCAGACUCCUACGGGAGGCAGCAGUGGGGAAUAUUGGACGAUGGGCGAAAGCCUGAUCCAGCAAUGCCGCGGGAGUGAUGAAGGCCUUAGGGUUGUAAAGCUCUUUUACCCGGGAUGAUAAUGACAGUACCGGGAGAAGAAGCUCCGGCUAACUCCGUG